AACGAACGCUGGCGGCAUGCCUAACACAUGCAAGUCGAACGAACCCUUCGGGGUUAGUGGCGGCCGGGUGAGUAACACGUGGGAACGUGCCUUUAGGUUCGGAAUAACUCACGGAAACUUGUGCUAAUACCGAAUGUGCUCUUCGGGCGAAAGAUCUUUCGCCUUUUGAUGGGCCCGCGUCUGAUUAGCUAGUUGGGUGAGGUAAGGGCUUACCAAGGCGACGUUCAUUAGCUGGUCUGAGAGGAUGAUCAGCCACAUUGGGACUGAGACACGGCCCAGACUCCGACGGAAGGCAGCAGUGGGGAAUCUUGCACAAUGGGCGAAAGCCUGACGCAGCAAUGCCGCGUGAAUGAUGAAGGCCUUAGGAUUGUAAAAUUCUUUCACCGGGGACGAUAAUGACGGUACCGGGAGAAAAAGCCCCGGCUAACUGCGUG
Molecule: ribosomal RNA, 434 nt
Filed under: uncultured bacterium
Lineage: Bacteria
Description: partial 16S ribosomal RNA
Rfam family: Bacterial small subunit ribosomal RNA
Source: RNAcentral